This 19-nucleotide microRNA is filed under the name Corchorus olitorius. RNAcentral describes it as "tca-miR-3903-". Lineage: Eukaryota; Viridiplantae; Streptophyta; Magnoliopsida; Malvales; Malvaceae. The record is from RNAcentral.
AUAUGAUAUACUAUUCCAA